UAGAGUUUUGRAACUGGCUCAGAUUGAACGCUGGCGGCAGGCCUAACACAUGCAAGUCGAGCGGUAGAGAGAAGCUUGCUUCUCUUGAGAGCGGCGGACGGGUGAGUAAUGCCUAGGAAUCUGCCUGGUAGUGGGGGAUAACGUUCGGAAACGGACGCUAAUACCGCAUACGUCCUACGGGAGAAAGCAGGGGACCUUCGGGCCUUGCGCUAUCAGAUGAGCCUAGGUCGGAUUAGCUAGUUGGUGAGGUAAUGGCUCACCAAGGCGACGAUCCGUAACUGGUCUGAGAGGAUGAUCAGUCACACUGGAACUGAGACACGGUCCAGACUCCUACGGGAGGCAGCAGUGGGGAAUAUUGGACAAUGGGCGAAAGCCUGAUCCAGCCAUGCCGCGUGUGUGAAGAAGGUCUUCGGAUUGUAAAGCACUUUAAGUUGGGAGGAAGGGUUGUAGAUUAAUACUCUGCAAUUUUGACGUACCGACAGAAUAG
This 487-nucleotide ribosomal RNA is filed under the name Pseudomonas sp. RNAcentral describes it as "bacterial SSU rRNA". It matches the Rfam family "Bacterial small subunit ribosomal RNA", at positions 1 to 489 of the family's 1533-position model. The record is from RNAcentral. Lineage: Bacteria; Pseudomonadati; Pseudomonadota; Gammaproteobacteria; Pseudomonadales; Pseudomonadaceae.